RNAcentral lists this ribosomal RNA (426 nucleotides) under uncultured bacterium. RNAcentral's name for it is "partial 16S ribosomal RNA". It matches the Rfam family "Bacterial small subunit ribosomal RNA", at positions 354 to 796 of the family's 1533-position model. The record is from RNAcentral.
GUGAGGAAUAUUCCGCAAUGGGGGAAACCCUGACGGAGCAAUGCCGCGUGCAGGAUGAAGGCCCUCGGGUCGUAAACUGCUUUUAUAUGAGAAGAAUAUGACGGUAACAUAUGAAUAAGGGACGGCUAACUACGUGCCAGCAGCCGCGGUCAUACGUAGGUCCCAAGCGUUAUCCGGAGUGACUGGGCGUAAAGAGUUGCGUAGGCGGCUCGUUAAGCGUGAAAUGAAAUUUAUCGGCUCAACCGGUAAACUAUUUCGCGAACUGACGGGCUCGAGAGUAUGAGAGGUUACUGGAAUUUCUAGUGUAGCAGUGAAAUGCGUAGAUAUUAGAAAGAACACCAACGGCGUAGGCAGGUAACUGGCAUACAUCUGACGCUGAGGCACGAAAGCGUGGGGAGCGAACCGGAUUAGAAACCCCAGUAGUCC